UACGUAGGGUGCGAGCGUUGUCCGGAAUUAUUGGGCGUAAAGAGCUUGUAGGCGGUCUGUCGCGUCUGCUGUGAAAAUCCGGGGCUCAACCCCGGACUUGCAGUGGGUACGGGCAGACUAGAGUGUGGUAGGGGAGACUGGAAUUCCUGGUGUAGCGGUGAAAUGCGCAGAUAUCAGGAGGGACACCGAUGGCGAAGGCAGGUCUCUGGGCCACUACUGACGCUGAGAAGCGAAAGCAUGGGGAGCGAACAGG
RNAcentral lists this ribosomal RNA (253 nucleotides) under uncultured bacterium. RNAcentral's name for it is "partial 16S ribosomal RNA". It matches the Rfam family "Bacterial small subunit ribosomal RNA", at positions 524 to 776 of the family's 1533-position model. The record is from RNAcentral.